CUAUAUAUCCUUCACUUUGUUGAUUCUCAAUGCCCAAGGCAGUUCCAGUGUGGAAAUCUUGGCAAUUUGGAGUUUCCUCUGGCCAAUUCUUCGGGAUGUGGAUUGUUCACGGUUGACUGCAGUGCUCGGCCGAAUCCAAAAAUUCAACUGGAUAAUUAUUGGCAUUCAACAUCCUUUUCCUUUGAUAUUAUGAACAAGUCAUCUCCCAAUGAAAUAUUUAUUCGAAAUCCAUUUCGUGAACGUGUUUUAUAUAAUAAUAAGGAAAUAUGCUAUUUAUUUUUUCUUCUCCCUAUGCCACACUCUCCUUCGAUUUCGAUUUCGUUCUUCCCCAAUAUCACUCUGUUUAAAUGCGCCAAAUAUAGGAACUACGACAAUGAGAUACCUCAUUUCCAAGAAAUUUAUGGAAACUACGAUGGUUGUGAUUUCUUCAAUAUAUACUACCCCAGGUCGAAUGGAAGUCUUCCGCCCCCCAACGACUGUUCAGUUCUUCCCUUGCCAGGCAAUUUACAGUGUUACUCAGAUUCAUUGGACUUGUUCCAGCGGUUAGGCUCUGAUUGUCUUCUAAAAUGGAAUGUGUCUGAUGAUUGUCGUAAUUGCCACAGAAAAGGAGGAAACUGCACAACUAACAUGAAGAAUGAAUUUCGAUGUGAUAAAGGUACCAUCGGCCUUUGAACAUGGAUGAUUACGAGUCAUCCCUCUACAUAUUUUCUUUUGUUUUGCAUUUUUGCCCGCAAUCCAGAACAGGGUUCAAGCGAUUUAAACUUUAAAACAUAUAGAAUUGUUUGAUUAUAUGUCACUGACAAUUUAUCACGUGAUCGCUAUAUGCCAGUCCUCACGAGUACAGUUGUUUAUAUCCUUCCCUCACAUAGAUGUGUUCUUCAUGCCUUGUUGCGGGUUUCAUUUUUCUUUCUUCAGUUGAGUUUGAACUGACAUAUUUGCACGUUGACUAUGGCUACAGAGAAAAGGAGGGAUUUGAAGAAGAUUCUAGCCGCAGGUAAAUGUGGUAAAGGAAUGCAGAUACAUUACAUAUUAGAUGUCAAACUCCCAUUCUUACUUUCAAAACUUCUUUACAUAAUUUUUUCCAAUUGAGGUUUUCCUUUUCAAUUUUUGGUUUCUGAGUUCUUGAUUUCUCUGUUUAUGGUUUUCAGCUAUACCUGGAAGUAUAGUCACACUUUGCGUGGUAGGUUUUUUCAUUUGGCGCCAUAAAAAAAGAAUCAAUGAUGCAUACUUACUUUCGAGGAACAUAUCCACCGAUCCCUCAAAAUCAGACAUUGAAGGCGGGAGUCUCUUCUUUGGUAUCGCCAUCUUCACCUAUACAGAACUUGAAGAGGCUACCAAUAAUUUUGAUUCUUCUAAAGAACUUGGAGACGGAGGUUUUGGAACUGUCUACUACGGUAAGAAUCUAUUAGUCAUUAUGAAGCAACGUCAAUCAAAAUCAUGAUAGAUAAAAUUGUCUGCUAGGUGUAUAACUGUUUAAUACUAAUAGUAAGUCUGACUUCUUUUCUAAUUAGGCAAACUCCGGGAUGGAAGAGAAGUAGCAAUAAAGCGCCUCUACGAGCAUAACUACAAACGAGUAGAGCAGUUCAUGAAUGAAAUCAAAAUCCUUACUUGCUUGAGGCACCUGAAUCUUGUUUCUCUUUAUGGCUGUACAUCUAGGCACAGCCGGGAACUCCUACUCGUUUACGAGUACAUUCCUAAUGGCACAGUUGCGGAUCAUAUCCAUGGUGACAGAGCUAAUGAAGCACCACUUUCAUGGCCAAUUCGCAUGAAAAUUGCCAUAGAGACUGCUUGUGCAUUGGCAUACCUGCAUGCAUCUGAUAUAAUACAUCGCGAUGUGAAGACUAACAACAUACUGCUCGAUAACAGUUUUUGUGUCAAAGUUGCGGAUUUCGGGCUUUCAAGACUCUUCCCUAAUGAUGUCACUCAUAUAUCAACUGCCCCUCAGGGGACCCCUGGAUAUGUGGAUCCGGAAUAUCAUCAAUGUUACCAACUUACUAAUAGAAGUGACGUAUACAGCUUUGGAGUUGUCCUCAUUGAGCUCAUAUCAUCAAUGCCUGCAGUGGAUAUAAGUAGGCAUAGGCACGAAACCAACUUGGCCAACUUAGUGGUAAGCAGGAUACAACGGUGUGCAUUUCCCGACUUAAUCGAUCCAUCUCUUGGAUUUGGAUCUGAUGCUGAAGUUACAAGGAUGACUACUUCAGUGGCGGAGUUAGCUUUCCGAUGUUUGCAACGUGAAAAGGAUCUGAGGCCUUCUAUGGACGAAGUAUUAGCAUUUCUGAAGGAGAUAAGGGGCGACGAGGAGGUAGAAAUUGAGAAUAAAAUGGAGACUAUUGAUAGUCACAGUGUUCCAAGAGGUGUAAAGAUCCCACCUUCACCUGAAACAGAUGAUAUUGUAUUGUUGAAGAGCAAGAAUUUGAAAUGCUCACCAAGUGCUGUGACUGAUAUGUGGAUUAGUAACUCUACAACCACUAGUUCCAGUGGGUGAGAUUCCUUUUGUUGUUUCUACAAGUAGAUGAUAGUAAGAAUGUUGUUAAACACUCUAUAUAUUGUUUACCAAAUGGGUGGGACUUAUUUCAUCUUCUAUGCUUUCACCUUCACAAACAGUAAAUAUAGAACUAAAGACUGGGAAUAUGCUAGUAAAAUGAUGUAGCUUUUUCAACAUCUGGUGUGGUGUUUUUGUUGUUUCUACAAGUAGAUGCUGGUAAGAAUGUUGUUAAACACCCUUUAUAUUGUUUGCCAAAUGGGUGGGAUUUAUAUCAUCUUCUAUCCUUUCACCUUCACAAACAGUAAAUAUAGAAAUAAGACUCAGAAUAUGCUAGUAAAUGAUGUAGCUUUUUCAACAUCUGGUGUGGUGUUUUUGUUGUUUCUACAAGUAGAUGCUGGUAAGAAUGUUGUUAAACACCCUUUAUAUUGUUUGCCAAAUGGGUGGGAUUUAUAUCAUCUUCUAUCCUUUCACCUUCACAAACAGUAAAUAUAGAAAUAAGACUCAGAAUAUGCUAGUAAAUGAUGUAACUUUUUAACAUCGAGAUGUGUUGUUCUCUUGCUUGAAUAAUCCAAGAAAAUGUUUGCUAUGCACUACUGACAACUUUGUAUAAAACAAUAUACAACAUUUUAACGUGUUGUUCUUCGUUCGUCCUAUUAGAGGAUGUUAAAUCCAGUGCAUCAAACAUUUGGUACGCCAACGAUAGUUUUUAGUAAACUGAUAUGCAUUGCCACCAGUACAGCACAUACCACGCAUCUGAGAUGAUGCCAUUCCUGUCAUUCUGUCAAAAGUGAAGAACUCUUUGGUUUUAUUUGAGAGUUAUGUUGCAUUGAUUUCAUAAGAAUUGUUCUACAUUAACACUUGGCAGCAUUUCAUUGGUAGUUGGACAAAAAAUAUUUUUCAACUACCCAAUCACAAUUUACCAACUUGCAUAACUCUUUAUUUGAAUAAUGGAACUGACAAAGAAAAUUAAGAAAUUUUCUAGGGAUGUUUUUCUUUUCCUUGUCAUGGGGCGUUUGGAUCUCUUACACAACUAGUAAAAAUAUUCCAAACAAAUUUUCAUGCUUUUAAAGGACCAAAAUUUAUAUGCGAUUUUAAUGGAAUUAAAGUUGAUCAUAUACCAGCUGACAUAGUAGAAGAAAUAUGAAUUGGAAAAGCCUGUUAGAGCAUCUCAAAGAGGUUUUAUGAAUCCAAGAUGUUUUCUGUUUUAGGGAGCCUAUGCAAAAAUAACGAAAAGAUCACAGACACAAGAUCUUUCACCAAUUUUAUUAUUUGAUCUUUUAGUUGGUUUAGUAGAAUUUUAAACUAUUUUCAUCAUUUGCAAAAUUCAAAUUUAUUGUGUAUUUUGUUGUUAAAAUUAAAUUUAACUAUUGUGUAAUUGAGUAAUUAUUCAUGUGGGAUUCAAAACCCGGGCCGUUUGUCCACUUAUUACUUGUACGUGACUUGUGAGCCCGCGGUACACUUUUUUAGCGAAAAACAUGCCGACGCCAUUUUUAUAAAUUUAGUAAUCAAAAUUCGACUAUCUCAAAAUUCAUUGAGCAAUCGAAUACGUUUUCUAAAGUUUGUUGAACAAUGAAAAACGUUUUCUCAUGUGACAAUUUGGUAAAGACAUGACGGGACUCCACAUGUGCAUUCCAUUAGCUACGACAAAUUUCGUUGGAAGUUUGAAACGGGUGUUAUGCCAAUAAGUAAUGUCCAACGUUUGGAUAGAUUUAAUGGUUAAAACUCGACAUUUUAAACUUUAAUUAGCAAUCGAAAAUACAUACACAAGUUCAGUAAAUAUUGAGAUAAUUAACUCUGCUAAACAUGGGCUAAAUAAAAGAGCUUUUAUUUUCUGUUGAAAAUUUGAGCUGUCACCCAUGAUUUAAAAAAAUUGUUGAAAGUAGCUUGUAUUUGCUACUUUCAGCACAAAAAAAAAAAAAAAAAAAAAAAGGAAGGAAAGAGAGAGAGAGAGAGAGAGAGGCAACCUUGCUACGUUACCAGCUAGAUUUUGCCACAUUUCUUGAUAUUGACAUUCUGUCAUUGGCCGGUUAAAAAGAAAAGGGACAAUUUUUGCACCAAUCACUUGCUACACUUCAUCUAUCAUUUGGAAUGUCUAGGGAUGGCAAUGGGCCGAAUCGGCCUUUAACUCACGAGCUCGGCUCGGGCUGAUGGCGAGCCUAGCUCGAGCUCGACUCGUUGCUUGGGGGAGCUCAGCCCAUGAGCUCGCGAGGCCGACCGUGUUAAGCAUAGGCGCGGAGAACACCCUUCUUUGGCAAUGCCCAAAAUUGCAAUGGAUUCCACCUUUACCGAGCCCACACGCAGCUCGCGAACUCGUGAUUUUUUUAAUAUUUUUUAAUUAUUAUUAUUAUUAUUUUUUUUUUUGUGUAAAUUUGCACAUUUUUUGACUUUUUUCUAUUCUUCUUCUUCUUCUUCUUCUUUUUUUUUUUGUAAAUUUACAUAUUUUUUGAUGAGCCCACAGCUUGUGGACUCGUCAAAAAUGGCUCGUGGGAUUGAGCCCCCUACUCGGCUCAAGCUCGAGCUCAUCAUUUGAUGAGCAUGAGCCACCCACGAGCCGAGCAUCCCCUCGACCCGUUUGACAUUCCUAUGAAUGUCAAAUUCAUUAGGCAAAGUGGCAUUAUCAACACAACUGGUUUAAUCGGUGUUGCGUUAGUCAAAUGGGAGGUUACAAUUAAUCAAUAAUAAUAAUAAUAAUAGUAAUAAUAAUAAAGUGUGGAUAAGUGAGAGAUUCGUUUUGGAUUUAAAUAUUCUUUUAACUCCUUUUUUUACUGUUGAUUUAAAUUUAGGUAAGAGUCUAAUUGUCAAAAAGGAUUAAUCGGGUUCUAGCCACUAAGAAUUUCAAAAAUUUAUUUUUGAAUCUUUUGCACUUUUUAAUUUUUUGUUAAUUUUUUGAUUUUUUAAUAAUUUAUUUGAGACUCAUUUGCAUUUAAAAAAAAUUCUAAUUUUUUUAAUAAUUUACUUAGGAUUCAUUUGAACUUUUUAAAAAGUAUGUGACUAUGGUUGCAAUAAUUUUUUAUUUUUGUUUUUUUGUUUAAAUAGGAGGGUAUAUUCAUAAUUUCAUGAUUUUUUUGUUGAGAAAUUGGAUGAAAAUCGAUAGAAAAUGAUGGUCCCAUUUAUACAGAUAUGGUAGAGGGGCCUUACAUUGGGCCUAGUGCCCAGGUGGUUUGGCCAAUAGUGGAAGGUAUGAUAGUAAGUGGACGAAAAGGGAAUUUUAGGAAAAAGAUCUUGGAGAUACCAUUGUUUCUUGUACAGAAGUUCCUAUAAAAAUGAUUUCCGACUGGCAUAGAAGUCUCUCGUGUGCCCCCUUGGGGGCUGGGGGGAGAAUUACCAUUCCUUUGCGUAAUCAAAGGUAUAAUUAAAGGUGAAAAUAUCAAAAAAUGAAAGGUGAUGUUUUUCACAAUAGUAGUGAAAGGAAUUAACAUUAUGUGUUAAUUACCAUUUUACUAAUUUAUUUUGAACUGGUUUGCAUUUUAUUUAAAAUGGUACUAUGAUUGCAAUGAGUUCCUUUUUUUCCCCUCUUUUUGUUUAAUUUAAAUUGAAAGAUAUAUUCGACACUUCGUAGCGUUUAAUUGAGAAAAUUGAUGAAAAAUACCUUUUGCGCAAUGAAAUGCGGAAAUGAUGGUAAAAAUGCCAAGAAAAUUGAAAGAUAAUGAUUUUUUCACAAUUAUAGUGAAAGUUAAGGACGAUAUAUGCUAAUAACAGUUUAGAAUACUGCUAAUUAUCAUUAUAAUAAUGGAACAUCGUGAUAUAACAAUUUAUGUGGAAUAAUGAUAUUGGAUAGUUCAAUUUUUACAAGAGAGAUGGGAGAUGUGGUCGAGAGAGAGAGAGAGAGAGAGAGAGAGAGAUAGUAGAUUAGUGUCUCUUGGUCUUGUGUAAUUUAAGUCUUUCAUAAUGAAUUAUUCCGUGUUCUUUUCAUAUAGACUUAUAGCAUAAUGAAUUAAGGUCUUUAUGUAAUUUUGUUAUACUAUUUUCUUUUAUUAAUUAUGCAAAUUUUAUUUAUAAAGCUUUGGUUUUAAAGCAUUAGGUAAAAAGUAUUUUCAAGAGACUCUCUAUUUUUGAAUAAUAUUUUCUAUUAUUUCGAGAUCAUUUAUAAAUUUAGAGAGUAAAAAUUUUAAAUACUCCAAAAUGCUCUUUAUUUUUAAUACUUAAUUUACUACUCUUAAUAUGUAUCUAUUAUUUUCACUAACUUCGCUUCAAAGUAUUAUAUUAAUCUCCUCCAUUUUCUUUGUAUAUAUUAUAUAUUUGGGUCAAUAUAUGUAACACUGAAAAUUGAAAUAUUUUGAUUGUAUUUAAUUAUAGAGAGUGAAUUUGAAUCUUGGAAGAUGAUUUGAAGAGUUGAUUUUUUAAAAUAUAGAGUAUUUCAUUUCUUGAAAAUGCUCUUAUUAUCCGUUCAUAAUUUUAGCCAAUUUCAUUUUGUUUUUGUGGUCCAACCCAGUGAAUUUGAAAUUCAUGUCCCAGACCCAUGUUGUUGCUAUUAAUUUAUUAACCAACUCCAGCAUGCUUGUAUUGCCACCAGCGACAAACAAUGCAUCCUAUUAGUUUGAAUCCAAAUAAUGUCAAUAUAGGGCUAAGUAGGUACUAGAACAAAACUUUAUUUUAAGGUACGCAUUUUAGAGUUUUUUUUUUUUUCAAACUAGAUAUCAAUAUUUUAAUUUUAUGUCAAUUAGAUAACUAAAUUUAAAUUUAAUUUCGAUUAAUGUAACUUUGUUCAAUUUCAUUAACAGUGAUGUGACCAUCAUUUAUUGAUGGUCAACACGUGGGGCCGUCAAUUGUUGAAGUGGAAUAAAUGUAAUAUGAGUGAAAUAAACUUUUUUUUUUUUUUUUUUUUUUUUUUUUUGGGGGUUUUCCAGCUCACGCGCACCUCGAUUAAUCCUAUGGGGCUCUGAAAUUUACACUGAAUACUCAUCUCAGUGGUCCUGAGAGGAUUCGAACUGAUGACCAUUGGGGAGCAAAUUCAAAGUCUGACCACUGAGCUUUCCCUCAGGAUUUGAGUGAAAUAAAUGACGAAAUAAUAUUAAUAACUGUUAGAUAACUAAUUUCUAUCUAUCUAGUAAAUAGAAUCAAAUGAACUUACCAAUUAUAUAUUUAAAUUAAAGUACACUUGUUCGAUGGGCAAAAUUAAACAAAGAGGAAUAAUGACAGACAUUUCACAUUUGAAUAGUUGAAUUGUGAUUGUGACACUAUCUACCUCAUAUGAUAGAAAUUUUGCUUAAAAUUACAUGUUUAAUUGUCAUGCUAAAGUGAGUACAGUAAACAUGUAAAAUUCAAGGAAAUAACUAUCGUUUAAUUUUCCACCACAAUUGAAAAUGACAUGAAGAGUGGGGGCCUUGAAGUUGUUUUUGAUUCGCAGGAAUACAAAAAAAUUCGUUGGAUAUGAAACUUCAGUCAUCAGUAUUAUUUGUUUAGGCUCACUGUUUCAACUUAAUUCUUUUCGUUUUCACAAGUCUUCGUCAAAAAAAUCCAAGUCAACUGUCGUGUUCAUCUUCACUUACGUUGCGUGUAAAUAAAUUAAUUGAAUUGACACAACCUCAGCAGAAAUUGAUUUCUCUAUUCUUCUUGGUUCUUCUGUUUGUUGUUGAGUUAGGCUGGCUAAUGGCGAAUCUAGAAAUUUGAAUCAGCACGAGCGGACGUCGACCGUAUUAAAUAGUGAUUUAAUGGAGAAUGUGUGGUUAAAAAUAAGGAUAAGUUUUGAAUUGUGUGUAAUAUUAUUUUAUUUAAAAAUGUGUGGUUAAAAAUACAAGAGAGAAAAAUAUAUUUUAAAAUAAAUGGGAAUCAAACAAGGUUUAAAAUUUAAAUACAAUAAUUUAUUUUGUUGAAUUUUUGUAAUUGCAUUAAAACCGCUUAAAUCUAAUAUAUAUAUUUUUUGUUUAAAUACUACCACAAAUCAAUAGUUGCCUUAGUGGUCACAUUCUCAACAAGUUGAACUAAACUUCGCAGGUUUGAAUCUCGUUGGCACCAGUUAUUAUUACAUUAAUUUUUGUAAAAAUAGUAUAAUUAAAAAUAUUUGUACUAUACAUUCAGUUGGCUAAAAAAAAUUUGAACCCGGGACCUCAAGGAUGUGUGUGCAAGCUCUAGCCAACCUGCCCUGAAGAAAUGUUGGAGAUAAAAGUAAAUUAUCAAUAAUAUAAUAUAAAUCAUUAACUGUCAACAACAAAAAAAAGGGCGAUCGACGGAUCCAGCACACGCGGCCAUGGGAGCUCGCCAGGUGCUGGAUCCACCACUGGCUGGCAUGGUUUUCUCAUGUAGCGCUGCUUCCAAUUUAGUUGUUUAUAUCUCUCUGUUGUUGGGUAAUUGCCUCAAAAGUCAUAAGUUGGAGGACUUUUAUUACAUAUAGUAAAAUGUAGUUAUUGUAUGGAAGACUUCUAAUUAAAGUUGAGAGCCUUGCAAAAUUUGUUCUCCAAUUUACGAUCGAUUUUGGAGUAUUGCACAUUAAGAAAUUCUUGUUGAGUUAAACGAGUCUUGUUUGAGUUUAAAUUGAACUCUUCUACUUGAUUAUUGAUCCUAUAAAUAAUGGAUGUACUUCAUUAUUUUAGGUGUGGCUAGAGAGUUGAUUUGACAGGAAAAUAUUGUGAGUCUAGUAUCUUGAUAUUUAUCUUACAUUGAGUAGAAAAGUAGGUGUAGUAAAGCUUGAGUAUGUUUAUUUUUCUUUGUAAUACUUGGGGAUUGGGUUGAUGAGUGAAAUUCUAUAUGAUUGUAACAAUUUUUCAUAUAGUGAAAUUCUAUAUGAUUGUUUAUUUUUCUUUGUAAUACUUGGGGAUUGUGUAUUAUAUUCUUUAUUUUUCAUGUUUGCUAAUAUUCUUUUGAACAACAAAAGAUCUUGCAGGUAAAUAGAAAUAAAGGGAAUCGGCAUGAAAUUCUCAACAAGUGGUAUCAUAGCAUCAAGUGGUUUGGAGUAUUGGAGCAAUAGAAAAAUAUGUCGUCGUUAAAAUAUAACAUGGAGAAAUUUGAUAAGAGAAUCAAUUUUGACUUGUAAUAAGUACAAGUGGAGGAUUUAUUGAUUCAAGCUGGACUAUAUAAGGCUUUGAAAGGAAACCCAACUAAGAGUUUUAGCAAGAUUGACAACUCCAUGAGGAAGAAAGUAACUUAUUGGAACUACCGUCAGACUGGCCACGUGAAGAGAAAUUGUCCAAAAGGUGGAGCAAGGUCGACUAACUGCUUGGGGAUCGAACAAUACGUCUUUCCUGAUGAAGGAGGAUGCGGAUGUGGUGUUGUAAAGUAAGAUGGGAAUAUCCUCAUAGCAUGUCGUCAGUUGCCAUAAUAGAGGAUGUGUUCUUACUGGUGCGGGUCAACAUAUAGGCACAUAGCAUUGACUGACAUUUGAUGCAAAGUGUGCAGGUAUGUGGUGGUAUUGUAAUAUCGAUGGCUGAUGAACUCUCUAGAAAAGUCAAUGGGAGAGUUGCACCAUAACUAUCAGCAGGGUUAUUUCGACAUGUAACCGAUAAAAUGCUUGAAGUUCACAAAUAAUUCUAAGUGGUUAUGCUCAUAGAGUGGAGUAUGGAACCGUUAAAGUGUGUCAAAGGCUUACCUAUUUUUCCAAAUAUUGUGAUUAAAAGUUGUAGAAGAGAUAACGAGAUUUUGACUCAUAUUCGGUAAGGUGUAGAUUGUUGGAUAAUUGCCUCAGAAGUCAAAAGUUGGAGGAUUUAUAUUGCAAAUAAUAAAAAUGUAGUUAUUGUAUGGAAGAUUUCUAAUUAAAAUUGAGAUCAGAAUCCUUGCAAAAUUUAGUCUUCAAUUUACAAUCAAUUUUGAAGUCUUGCACACGAAGAAAUCCUCAUUGAGUUAAAAGAGUAUUGUUUGAGUUUAAAUUAAACUCUUCUAUUUGGUUCUUGAUCCUAUAAAUAGUGGAUGUAUUUCAUUAUUUUGAAUGUAGCUAGAGAGUUUAUCUGAGAGAAAAAUAUUGUGAGCCUAGCAUCUUGAAACUUUUUGUACAUUGGGUAAAAAAGUAGGUAUAGUAAAACUCGACUUUUUUUUUUUUUUUUUUUAAUAUUUUGAAAUUUUAUAUGAUUGUAACAAUUUUUCAUAUAUUGAAAAGUUUUAAUAGUCUGUUUAAUUUGUGCGUUAUAUUCUUUAUUUUUCAUGUUUGCUAAUAUUCUCUUGAACAACUAAAGAUCAUGCGGGUAAAUAUAAAUAAAAAGAAUUGGUGUGAAAUUCCCAACAAGUGUUGGGCCGGAGACUUGUUGGGUGGUUUUGAAUCUCUCUCACUCCAAAAGUUACUUCAAGAGAUGAUGCUUUCCCUCACAAUUAUAAACUGAAUGCCAACUCAUCUAGAACUAAUGUGAUAUAACCUCAACAAUCUCCUCCUUACACAUCGGACUUUGUGGGAGACUAAACACAUCUCCUCCUCACACAAACCCGUAUCUCCAUGACUAUUGGAUUGAAGACUUAUUGAUAAAUCGGGCUCUGAUACCAGUGUUGGGUGGUAUUGAACCUCUCACACUCCAAAAACUAGCUCAAGAUGUGAGAUUUUUCCUCGUACUUAUAAACUGAAUACCAACUCAUCCACAACUAAUGUGGAACGACCUCAACAUCUGUUUCAUCUAUAUAUCCAUCAUUUGAUUGAUUCACAAUGUCCAAGGUAGUUCUAGUGUGGAAAUCUUGGCAAUUUGAAAUUUCCUCUGGCCAAUUCUUCAGGAUGUGGAUUGUUCACGGUUCACUGCAGUGCUCGGCUGAAUCCAAAAAUUCCCCUGGAUAAUUAUAGGCCCUAUGAGAUUCUGAAAAAGUCAUAUCCCAAUCAGUUAUUUAUUCGAAAUCAAUUUCUUCAUCGUGUUUUAUAUAGUAAUAAUUAUGAGGAAAGGUGCCACUUAUUUUUUGAUCCCCCUACGCUACUCCUUCUAUUUCGAUUUCAUUCUUCCCCAAUAUCACUUUGUUCGGAUGCACCAAAGAUAGGAACUACGACAAUGAGAUACCUAAUAUCCAAGAAAUUUAAUUCUUAAGUUACAACAACCAGAACCAUAGAACUUUAUAUUCUAAGACCUAGAAUCGAUUUGAAACAGAACCAAAGCGAACUAGCUGAUUUUACUUGGUUCUAGAUCGUUGGUCUUGGAUAAAAUUUCAUGCACUUAGGUAACAUAUUAUAUUACUUAUAUGGUAAUUACCUGUUUUAUAUGUUGGGUAACUUAUUGGGAGUAAUUAUGUUAUCGAUGUUAACUCCUAUCAUCAAUAUCAAUAUCAAUAUCAAUAUCAGAUUGCAGCCCCAAAAUGUGAGUACCACCAUUAUUGUCACUCUAAACCACCACCUUCUAAACAGUCAAAAUCAGCACCACCAUAUCCUCCAACCACUGCUACGCCAACAUAAAACCAUAACUAUCACGAUGGAAAGCUUUAGAAACACAAUAAUGAUUCCAAUAUGAAAAUAUUUGAUGAAUGGUAGUUGUGUUUGUUGCACGAAGUUUACGAUGAUAAAAUUGGAGAAGCGAUAAAUGUUGAGAAUGGUGAGUUUGGUGGCAAUUGGAUUGAGAUUCCAGUAACGGUGGCGGUAUAAGACAACAACAAUGUGGGAGCUUUUUGGUACAAUGGCGGAGAAGAUAACGAGAGGAGGUCGUUGAUUUGAGAAUUUUGAAUUGGGUGUGAUACGUUGCGACAGUGAUCCAACAUUAUUGGGGUGCUAGUUUGGAAUAAUGUUAUUUAUUAUUAUGAUGACGGAACAUCAAUGAUGUGGUAGUCUAUAUGAAAUAAUGGGAUUGGACAGUCUAAUUUUUAUGAAAGAGGAGAGAGGAGAUGUGGUCUCAAGAAAGAGAGAAAUGUGAGAGAUAAUGGGUUGUCGUAUCAUUGAUAUUCCAUCAUCAUGGUGAUAAAUAACAUUACUCGCUAGUACAGUGUUUUGUUGGAUAGGAAUUUGACAAGAAUGAAGGCAUGUUUGAAACUUUUUAAAUUAGAACUCUUUAUUUCUCAUAUUCAUUUUCAUUCACACAUUAAAAUAUUAUGUAGUAAACAAAAAAAAAAAUUCCUAUAUUUUAAUCACAUAUUUUUCAAAAAAUUACUAUUUGAAACAUCAUUUUCCUCCAAUUUCUAUUUAUAGUUUUCAUCAAACAGGGGCUUAGAAUAAGUUUAUAUAUAUAUAUAUAGUUACAGGUAAAAAUCUGUAAAACAUAAAAGGGAGUUAUUUUUUCAAUUUUCGCAAGAAAAGUGAGUCUCCAACCUUAGAACAUAUCUAAUGGACUUAAAGAUUAUAUUUUAAAAUUUAGAGAUCAUCUAUAAAUUUAGAGAUUAAAACUCCAACUUACUCUUUACUUUAAUACUUAAUACUUAAUUUACUACUUAAUAUGUAUUUAUUAUUUUUCACAUAUAUUUUAUUUUCGCUAGCUUCCCUUCAAAGUAUUUUAUUAUUUUCCUUCAUUUUCUUUGUAUAUACUACUUAAUUGGGUGCAUUGAAAUUGAAGUAUUUUGGAUUGGGAAAACUCAAACAAAGAGAAAUAAGGUCAGACAUUUCACAUUUGAAUAGUUGAUUUGUGAUUGUGACACUACCUACCUCAUACGAUGGAAAUUUGCUUAAAAUUACUUUUUUAAUUGCCGUACAGUAAAAAUGUAAAAUUCAAGGAAGUAACUAUCGUUUAAUUUUCCACCACAAUUGGAAAUGACACGAAGAGUGGGGCCUUGAAGUUGUUUCUGACUCGUAGGAAUACAAAAAAAUUCGUUGGAUACGAAACUUCGCUCAUCCGUGUUAUUUGUUUAGGCUGACUGUUUCAACUCAAUUCUUUUCGUUUUCACAAGUCUUCAUGAAAUAAAUCUAAGUCAACUGCCGUGUUCACUUUCACCCUGACUUACGUUGCGAGUGAAUAAAUUUAUUGAAUUUAGACAACCGCAGCAGAAUUUGAUUUCUCUAUUCUUCUUCUUCUUCUUCUUCUUCUUCUUCUUCUUCUUUCUGUUCGUUGUUGAGUUAGGCUGGCAUGGUUUUCUCCCGUAGGGCUGCUUCCAGUUUAGUUGUUUAUGUCUUUCUGUUUCAUAUAUAUAUCCUUCACUCGGUUGAUUCUCAAUGCCCAAGGCAGUUCCAAUGUGGAAAUCUUGGCAAUUUGGAGUUUCCUCUGGCCAAUUCUCCGGGAUGUGGAUUGUUACCGGUUGACUGCGGUGCUCUGCCGAAUCCAAUAAUUCACCUGGAUAAUUAUCCGUUUUCACCAUCCUAUGAGAUUCUGAAAAAGUCAUCUCCCAAUGAAUUAUUUAUUCGAAGUCCAUUUCUUGAACGUGUUUU
This 13664-nucleotide long non-coding RNA is filed under the name Olea europaea (common olive). RNAcentral describes it as "long non-coding RNA (OEUR_LNC014838)". The record is from RNAcentral. Lineage: Eukaryota; Viridiplantae; Streptophyta; Magnoliopsida; Lamiales; Oleaceae.